Molecule: ribosomal RNA, 458 nt
Filed under: uncultured bacterium
Lineage: Bacteria
Description: partial 16S ribosomal RNA
Rfam family: Bacterial small subunit ribosomal RNA
Source: RNAcentral
CCUACGGGUGGCAGCAGUGAGGAAUAUUGGUCAAUGGGCGAGAGCCUGAACCAGCCAAGUCGCGUGAGGGAGUACUGCCCUAUGGGUUGUAAACCUCUUUUGUCGGGGAGCAAAAGCCGGACGUGUCCGGCUGUGAGAGUACCCGAAGAACAAGCAUCGGCUAACUCCGUGCCAGCAGCCGCGGUAAUACGGAGGAUGCGAGCGUUAUCCGGAUUUAUUGGGUUUAAAGGGUGCGCAGGCGGAUUUUUAAGUCAGCGGUAAAAUCGUGGGGCUCAACCCCAUCCAGCCGUUGAAACUGGGGAUCUAGAGUGUGCGAGAGGUAUGCGGAAUGCGUGGUGUAGCGGUGAAAUGCAUAGAUAUCACGCAGAACCCCGAUUGCGAAGGCAGCAUACCGGUGCACAACUGACGCUCAGGCACGAAAGCGUGGGUAUCGAACAGGAUUAGAUACCCUGGUAGUC